UUCAAUGUGCUUGAAUGUAGGUACUACCAACAUUACGUGGGUCUACGAGUAAGUAGGUAUAAAAUUAGCUUAGAGAUACGAAAUUGAAGUACCUACUUAUUCAUUUUGUGUAGGUCUAGGUACAUAGUAAGUACAUACAUAAAUACUUCAUUUUGCUCGUAUACGCUUGUGUAUCUCAUUGUAACAAUUGAUGCUUAUAAAGGAUGAUAUAACAUUGGACCAGCUAAUUUUUGACAUCUGUUUUCUUUCAGUCUAGUAGUUCAAAAAAAAUUGUGAAAAUGAAAUUAAUUUUUUUAAAUCUACUCUGUGCUUUAACACUUCAACCACAAUUUAGCCAAGGUGCUAAAAUAUUAGGCAUAUUUACUGUCAGCGGUCUAAGUCAUUUUAAAUUCGAUAAUGCUGUGAUGAAAAGCUUAAUAGAAGUCGGACAUGAAGUCACUAUUAUCACUCCAUUUCCCAAACAAGCUGCUGCCGAAAAUUAUACAGCAAUAAUUGAUGUUUCUCCGAAAGAAAAAACUUUCAUAGGAAACUCCACUCCACAAGAAUGGGUUUACCAAAACAUUAUGCCAAUAAUGGAUAUGAUGAUUGAAAGUGAUGCGCAAUAUUGCAACAAAAUUAUAAAUUUACCAGAAAUUCGAAAAAUUUUAAAAUCCAAUAAGAAGUUAUACGAUGUGUUAUUCGUGGAAAUUGGUUUUCUGUACAAAUGUUUUUUACCAAUUGCUGAAAAAAUGAAAAUCCCAGUCAUCGGAACAAUAGCCGUAAGAACUUGGCUAUAUGCUGAUUACGCGAUGAAUAAUCCUAAUCAUCCCGCAUACAUUCCUGAGGAAAUGACAGUUCAAAACUGGAAAUUAAAUCACGUUUUUGGACGAAUCAUAAAUGUAUGGAAUCACAUCGUAGUAGCAUGGUAUAAGAAUUUCGUUGUGCCAUCAUUGAUAGAGAAAUUUCAUCAAAAACAUGGAACCUGAUUUGAUUUUUUAUAAUAAUCACGAAUCCAUUUUACCCAAACCAUCGAACCCAAAUGUCAUCAAUAUCGCAGGAAUACAUGUCACAGAGACUAAACCUUUGCCAAAGAAAAUUCAAAAAUUUAUAGAUGAAGCUAAACAUGGAGUGAUUUUAUUCACAUUUGGUUCAUAUGUUAAAGCAGCCACUAUGAGUUCAGAAAUGAAAAACGCUUUCAGAGAUGCUUUCGCUGAAAUACCACAAAGAGUGAUAUGGAAAUUUGAAGAGGAAUUCGAUAAUAAGCCCAAGAAUGUAAUGCUGCUUGAUUGGUUACCGCAGCGUGAUAUCUUGA
RNA transcript from Planococcus citri (citrus mealybug), 1291 nucleotides. It is a transcript of the gene named UDP-glucosyltransferase 2-like, with no coding region annotated. The transcript is spliced from 4 exons. The record is from RefSeq and is a predicted model, not a curated record. Lineage: Eukaryota; Metazoa; Arthropoda; Insecta; Hemiptera; Pseudococcidae.